ACUCAGGUGUUGUUGGGUAGGGGAGCGUUCUGUAAGCCUGCGAAGGUGGCCUGUGAGGGUUGCUGGAGGUAUCAGAAGUGCGAAUGCUGACAUAAGUAACGAUAAAGCGGGUGAAAAGCCCGCUCGCCGGAAGACCAAGGGUUCCUGUCCAACGUUAAUCGGGGCAGGGUGAGUCGACCCCUAAGGCGAGGCCGAAAGGCGUAGUCGAUGGGAAACGGGUUAAUAUUCCCGUACUUGGUGUUACUGCGAAGGGGGGACGGAGAAGGCUAUGUUGGCCGGGCGACGGUUGUCCCGGUUUAAGCGUGUAGGUGUGUGUUCCAGGUAAAUCCGGUUCACUUUAACACUGAGGCGUGACGACGAGGCACUACGGUGCUGAAGCAACAAAUGCCCUGCUUCCAGGAAAAGCCUCUAAGCAUCAGGUAACAUCAAAUCGUACCCCAAACCGACACAGGUGGUCAGGUAGAGAAUACCAAGGCGCUUGAGAGAACUCGGGUGAAGGAACUAGGCAAAAUGGUGCCGUAACUUCGGGAGAAGGCACGCUGACAUGUAGGUGAAGUGAUUUACUCAUG
Molecule: ribosomal RNA, 569 nt
Filed under: Salmonella enterica
Lineage: Bacteria; Pseudomonadati; Pseudomonadota; Gammaproteobacteria; Enterobacterales; Enterobacteriaceae
Description: partial 23S ribosomal RNA
Rfam family: Bacterial large subunit ribosomal RNA
Source: RNAcentral